GAGUGAUUUAGGGAGCACUUUGUAGGUUUCCCCUAUUUACCUUUAGCCUUUUACCACAUCACCAAUGACCUCUUAUUUUCAUACUGUCUAUAGAAUUAAGUUAGUCUGCCCAAGAAGUCACUUUGUUUGACCCUGGUCCCAGUGCAUUCCCAAAUAUCAGGGAUUAUAUUCCCUUACUUUUACCUGGGCAUUGGAUGCCUCAUGUUCCCUUAUAUCAAACCUUAAAGGUAGCUUUUAGGCAGAAUCUGGUAGUGCUCUUGUGUCCUGAGGGUAGGACAAUAGAAGAAAAACUCAUUUGGCAUUAGACUUUUUCAUGGUGCUUAUUUGGAAGACCUUCUUCAUCUUCAGAAUAUUGAUCCAAGUCCUUUGGGGCCACUGCUACUGUCAGAGUUGUUUUGAGUUUGGCAGUACCUCUCCAGAGCCUCAAGGUAAGGGACAUGUGGUUUGAGAAGUGGAAUACAAGUCCAUAAUCUAUACAAUACUAGAGCUUAAUAGAUGAUUACUUUAUUACCUUGAUUAUACCCAUCAAUUUUUAGGUGUGAACAUUGAGAUCUGGGGUUGGGUGUAGGGUGGCUUGUGUGGGCUUCCCCAGGCUAGAUUGAAAACUCAAACAAACUGCAUAUACCCUUCUAUUACUUUUGUUUUUGGAGUUUAAGAAGUUUUAGAGUCUUGGCUUCUCAUUUAUUAUAUAACAAAAGGGAAAUAAAAAGUAGGAGUGGGAUAGUGUAUAGCUGGUAAACAUCUCCUGUAAUACAAGUGCUGAUGUUAUUGGGAAUUUUAUUUGAAAGUUUUUGGGAAGGGGAGAUAGUUAAGGGUAGGGCCCUGAGGGUUUGGGACAGGAGGGAAGGGAAGGGAUGGAGGAUCUAUCUGUAAUCUGUUUCAAAGAAGGAAAAACUGCAUAGUGCUUUGAAGAAAUUGGGCAUCAGUCCAAGAAGAAAUGUGAUGCCAGCAGCCAUCUUCACAUCACCCCCAAGCCUGUUCCCCUAUCUUGCUGGCAAGUCAUAGCCCUACUUUUACCCCCUUUUGCUGGUUUCAUGUAUUUUGAGGGUCAGCAAUUGUCCAUGCGCUGGGUGAGUUCAAACACUGUGUGAGGGACCACUUGGGUUUAGGACACGGGAACUAUGUGGAAGGGAUGGUUUCUUGUGAUAUGGGGCUGUGGUGUCUGUGUGAUGGGGAGCAUCAGAGAAGGUGUUUGGGGCAGCAUGGAGGGAAGGGUGCAUAUCCUGUAAGAAUCAGGGGACAGGGUUUCAUAACCUAUCAUGUGCCCAGAAAGUCAGGAAUGGCUGCAGUUCUAUUACCAAGCCCUGACAAGCAGCCAUUUUGGUUAUUAGCAGUGACUUUUAAAAGUUUCUCCUUUGCAACUUUACUAUUUCACUUUCAACCUGCUCAGUAUGUUGAAAAUGAAGUUUAUGGACUAUCUUUAUAUAAAAGUCGCAACUUGUAAUGCCUCCAUUAUUAUAUGCAGGCUUUCUCUUUGCCCCUUCCUUGGCUUCUAGUGCCGUGUUGGGGUUGAUGGGCCAGCCUGCGUCCUGUGAGUGUUUUCUGAAUACUUAUUAUUGUGUUCAAUUUUUUGAUUGAUGGGAGAGGGGCAGAGGGACUAAAAUGGGGAUUGGGCUGUGUAUAUUCCUAAAGUUUUCUUGUGGUUUUCACAUGUUCCAGAUAAUCUUAGUGUUUGGUAAGUACAGGACAUUUAAGCAACAAACACAACUACAGACAUUAGAAGUCAUCUGCUUCAGCAAGACUUUAAGCACUUCCUAUAUUCCAUGUUUUACACUUGAGGGUACAGUUAAGAAAAGUUAACUUACUGAGAAGUUUCUUUGAUCCUGAAACUAUAUUCACCUGAUACAGGAAACCAGUCUUCUUCAAAGGUGAUGAGAAUGCCUUGACAAGAUGAUAGGGACCAGCACUGUACAUUUGUUCCCAAGGGAAUACUGCAACAUGCAGGCACAGCCCUUGGUCACCUAAUGAAGGAGCCUCAUGUUGCAGCACAGAAGAUUUUUCAUCGUUGGAAGUUAAGGUUAGUUCACCUUCAUUGAUUCCUCCCUACACUGGACUAAAGCAUUUAAUCUAGAAACACUUAGGUCUCUAUAUAGCUUGUCAUAAUCUCUAUGCAUAGAAAGGGGCUUUCUAGAACCUGUCAGCAUAUUGUGAAAUAUCUCCUAUAUCAACUGAUAAUAAGAAAUCAGAAUUGCUUAAUUGUGGCAUUAAUAAAGUAUCACCUAGAUUGAACUAAGCAGGAAAAUUUUAGAUGAGAGUUUACCAUCACAAGCAAUAAACACACAACAGUCCCUGAAUCCUAAAAAGGUGGAGUUCUUGAUGGUAUUAGUGCGUAUCUUCAAAUUAUUUGCUCUCUGGAAAGAUGCUGAUAAAAUUUUGUCCACUACCAUAGUAUCCCUGCUGGAUGGGAACCAUAUCUUUACAAUAGACUCUCCACCCAUUGGCAAGGUGAUAGCUGUAAGGACAGUCACCUUGCAAGUGGGCAUGAAGC
Molecule: long non-coding RNA, 2488 nt
Filed under: Homo sapiens (human)
Lineage: Eukaryota; Metazoa; Chordata; Mammalia; Primates; Hominidae
Description: HSALNT0283746
Source: RNAcentral